AGGUGGGCACUCCUGAGGCUGCAGAGCAGAAGAGACCACCAAAACUGCCCACCCCUGCCCACAUCCCUGGCCCAAGAGGAAACUGUAUAAGGCCUCUGGGUUACCGUGGGGGAGGGCCCAGGAGCGGUAGGACCCCUGCGCCAGAGACACCGCCAGAACCUGAAAGGACAGACCAGAUAAACAGUUCUCUGCACCCAAAUCCCGUGGGAGGGAGAGAUAAACCUACAGAGAGGCAGACACGCCUGGGAAACCAGAAGAGACUGCACUCUGCACACACAUAUCGGAUGCCAGAGGAAAACACCAAACGCCAUCUGGAACUCUAGUCCACUGAAGCUCCCGGAAAGGGCGGCUCAGAUCUUCCUGGUUGCUGCCUCCGCAGAGAGCUCAUGGGCAGCACCUCGUGAGCAAACUUGAGCCUCAGGAACACAGGUAAGAGCAACUUUUCUGCUGCAAGUGACCUGCCUGGGGAACUCAAGACACAGGCACACAGGAACAGCUGAAGACCUAAAGCAGAACACUCUGGUCCCAUAACUGGCAGAAAGAAAAGAGGAAAA
RNAcentral lists this long non-coding RNA (554 nucleotides) under Rattus norvegicus (Norway rat). RNAcentral's name for it is "long non-coding RNA NONRATT025995". Lineage: Eukaryota; Metazoa; Chordata; Mammalia; Rodentia; Muridae. The record is from RNAcentral.